This 66-nucleotide transfer RNA is filed under the name Berosus affinis. RNAcentral describes it as "tRNA-Tyr". It matches the Rfam family "tRNA". From Rfam's summary of the family: Transfer RNA (tRNA) molecules are approximately 80 nucleotides in length. Lineage: Eukaryota; Metazoa; Arthropoda; Insecta; Coleoptera; Hydrophilidae. The record is from RNAcentral.
GGUGAAGUGGCUGAGUUAGGCGAUAAACUGUAAAUUUAUUUACGAAGUAAUUUAUUUCCUUCACCA